This 1117-nucleotide long non-coding RNA is filed under the name Arabidopsis lyrata. Its description in RNAcentral is "long non-coding RNA (ALYR_LNC002895)". Lineage: Eukaryota; Viridiplantae; Streptophyta; Magnoliopsida; Brassicales; Brassicaceae. The record is from RNAcentral.
AUUAGUAGACGAUUAAGUAAUCUAGUAGUGAGGAGGAGGUGGGGAUUUGUAAAGGUAGGGUUGGUGUGGAGGUGAGUAGUGGUGUACCGGAGGAGGAGGAGAAUGGUACACCGGAGGGGGAGGAGAAUGGUAAACCGGAGGGGGAGAGUAAUGGACCGGAGGAGGAGGAGAUUUGUAUUCAUAGUGCUUCUUGGGUGGUGGUGGGGAGUGGUAUACUACGGGAGGAGGAGAGUAGUGAACCGGUGGUGGUGGGGAGUGGUAUACUACUGGAGGAGGAGAGUAGUGAACCGGUGGUGGUGGUGAAUGGUAUACUACGGGAGGAGGAGAGUAGUGAACCGGUGGUGGUGGAGACUUGUAAACUGGAGGAGGGGAGUAAUGCUUAACCGGUGGUGGGGGAGACUUGUAAACUGGAGGAGGGGAGUAGUGCUUCACCGGUGGUGGUGGAGACUUGUAAACCGGAGGAGGAGAGUAGUACUUAACCGGUGGUGGGGCAGACUUGUAAACGGGAGGAGGGGAGUAGUGCUUAACCGGUGGUGGGGGAGACUUGUAAACCGGAGGAGGGGAGUAGUGCUUAACCGGUGGUGGGGGAGACUUGUAAACGGGAGGAGGCGAGUAGUACUUAACCGGUGGUGGGGGAGACUUGUAAACCGGAGGAGGCGAGUAAUGCUUAACCGGUGGGGGUGGAGACUUGUAAACCGGAGGAGGGGAGUAGUGCUUAACCGGUGGUGGUGGAGACUUGUAAACGGGAGGAGGCGAGUAGUACUUAACCGGUGGUGGUGGAGACUUGUAAACGGGAGGAGGCGAGUAAUGCUUAACCGGUGGGGGUGGAGACUUGUAAACGGGAGGAGGGGAGUAGUGCUUAACCGGUGGUGGUGGAGACUUGUAAACGGGAGGAGGCGAGUAGUGCUUAACCGGUGGUGGUGGAGACUUGUAAACGGGAGGAGGCGAGUAGUGUUUAACCGGUGGUGGUGGAGACUUGUAAACCGGAGGAGGCGAGUAAUGCUUAACCGGUGGAGGAGGGGAAGAGUAGAAGUAAUUUGCAGUGGUUUGAGAGACAAAAGCAAGGGAGAAUGCUAAGACAAGGAAAGAGGCCAUUGGUGACCCCAUUUUGUUAUGU